This 465-nucleotide ribosomal RNA is filed under the name uncultured bacterium. RNAcentral describes it as "partial 16S ribosomal RNA". It matches the Rfam family "Bacterial small subunit ribosomal RNA", at positions 29 to 507 of the family's 1533-position model. The record is from RNAcentral.
AUGAACGCUGGCGGCGUGCUUAACACAUGCAAGUCGAACGAUGAAGCUCAGCUUGCUGGGUGGAUUAGUGGCGAACGGGUGAGUAACACGUGAGUAACCUGCCCUUAACUCUGGGAUAAGCCUGGGAAACUAGGUCUAAUACCGGAUAGGAGCGUCCACCGCAUGGUGGGUGUUGGAAAGAUUUAUCGGUUUUGGAUGGACUCGCGGCCUAUCAGCUUGUUGGUGAGGUAAUGGCUCACCAAGGCGACGACGGGUAGCCGGCCUGAGAGGGUGACCGGCCACACUGGGACUGAGACACGGCCCAGACUCCUACGGGAGGCAGCAGUGGGGAAUAUUGCACAAUGGGCGAAAGCCUGAUGCAGCGACGCCGCGUGAGGGAUGACGGCCUUCGGGUUGUAAACCUCUUUCAGUAGGGAAGAAGCGAAAGUGACGGUACCUGCAGAAGAAGCACCGGCUAACUACGUG